GUACACGCUGUGACUAGCAUAUCAAUAAGCGGAGGAAAAGAAACUAACAAGGAUUCCCCUAGUAACGGCGAGUGAAGCGGGAAGAGCUCAAAUUUGAAAUCUUAAAGGGUUUCCCUUUACGAAUUGUAGUUUAAAGAAGUGUUUUCUGUUGAGGUUUUGGUAAAAGUUCUUUGGAAUAGGACAUCAUAGAGGGUGAGAAUCCCGUAUUUGACCUUUACUUUCAACUUUGUGAUACACUUUCAAAGAGUCGGAUUGUUUGGGAAUGCAGUCCAAAAUGGGUGGUAAAUUUCAUCUAAAGCUAAAUAUUGGCGAGAGACCGAUAGCGAACAAGUACCGUGAGGGAAAGAUGAAAAGAACUUUGAAAGGAGAGUUAAACAGUACGUGAAAUUGUCAAAAGGGAAGCGUUUGACACCAGUGUUGUUUUUCUGAAAAUCAGUUAAAGAACUGUUUAUGCUAAGCUGUUUAGACUUUAUCAGCUAUCUGUUUAGUUUUGAGCUUUUCUUUAAUGCACUUUUCAGUUAACAAGUCAACAUCAAUUUCUUUUGCUGUAAAAAAGCUUGAGGAAGGUGGCUUGAGAUUCGUCUUAAGUGUUUAUAGCCUCUUGCCUAUGCAGUCGGAGAGAUUGAGGUCUGCAGCGUAGAUCCUUCGGGGCUAAAUGCAUUUGUGCUAAGUUAUAGCAUUUUAUAGACAACUUGUUGACUAUGAUUUGUCUUGUAGCUUACUCGCUUAUGUUAUUUUACCUACGCUUAGGAUGUUGACGCGCGUGUGUGCGUG
This 774-nucleotide ribosomal RNA is filed under the name uncultured Neocallimastigales. RNAcentral's name for it is "partial large subunit ribosomal RNA". It matches the Rfam family "Eukaryotic large subunit ribosomal RNA", at positions 22 to 639 of the family's 3401-position model. The record is from RNAcentral. Lineage: Eukaryota; Fungi; Neocallimastigomycota; Neocallimastigomycetes; Neocallimastigales.